CCCUUAGAUGUUCUGGGCCGCACGCGCGCUACACUGAUGCAUUCAACGAGUCUAAAACCUGCUCUGAUAGGGGUGGGUAAUCUUUUGAAUGUGCAUCGUGAUUGGGAUAGAUGAUUGCAAUUUUUCAUCUUCAACGAGGAAUGCCUAGUAAACGCAAGUCAUCAGCUUGCAUUGAUUACAUCCCUGCCCUUUGUACACACCGCCCGUCGCUCCUACCGAUUGAAUGAUCCGAUGAAUAUCAUGGAUUGAGGAUGCAAGUAGGUUCGCCUAUCUUCAUCUUCGAGAAGUGAAGUAAAUCUUAUCAUUUAGAGGAAGGAGAAGUCGUAACA
Molecule: ribosomal RNA, 329 nt
Filed under: uncultured eukaryote
Lineage: Eukaryota
Description: partial 18S ribosomal RNA
Rfam family: Eukaryotic small subunit ribosomal RNA
Source: RNAcentral